This is a non-coding RNA of Microcebus murinus (gray mouse lemur), 764 nucleotides long. Lineage: Eukaryota; Metazoa; Chordata; Mammalia; Primates; Cheirogaleidae. The record is from RefSeq and is a predicted model, not a curated record.
UGAACCAAUCAUUCCGCCAUUUUUGAAAGCGUCAAAAAUGCCUACAGCCGUAUCAGUACCUGGCCGUGGGAAGAGGCAGGGGGGGAAAUUUCUCCCGCCUGACCCUUCCUUCCGCCUUCUGUGAGUCAGAACUUCAACAAUCUCACAAUCAUCUUUUAAAAGCCAUUGGCCUCACGAUUCCUCAUGUCCUAAAAUGCAGCUUUCCUUACAAAAGCCUUUGAUUUUUGCCUAGGCGGUCUGAAUGUCUGGGAAAUUUUAUUAAACAUUUGCUAUGCGCCAGUAACAGCAAGACUGUAUACACAAAGCCACUAUCAAUUUCAGAUAUGGGAGAAGGUAUCUGCCAGCAUUUGUACCCCCUGGAGAGGAUUGGGGACCAUACUAAUUGCUCUCCAACACUGGAUCUUGAUAUAUCACUGUACGUUCAAGAAGUUGUAGACAGAAAAUAAAAAUCAAUGUGGAGUCUGAUGGGCAUAUGGAUCAAAACCAAAAAUCAACAACAAAACAAACAGUACACUAAGACAAGAAAGUAUUUGUAUCUGGUUAAAUAUUACACACGGAAAACAGACUUUGUAGGAGGUUCCGUGUAUGGUGAUGAUGCAGGAGCUGUGCUGUGUGAAGAAAGUAUCGGACAAUGGCAUGAUGAAAUUGCUUGUCUGACAAUUUCUGAAUGUUGACUGGAAAUCUGUGUUGAUCUGAAGAGACACGAUUUGAUGUAAGAGCAACAUAGAAAGUGAAGAAUGGAACAGCACCAUGGCAUUGAUGAA